AGCAAUGGGGAGUGGCAGACGGGUGAGUAACGCGUGGGAACAUGCCUUUCGGUUCGGAACAACUCGGGGAAACUUGAGCUAAUACCGGAUACGCCCUUUUUGGGGAAAGAUUGAUCGCCGAAAGAUUGGCCCGCGUCUGAUUAGCUAGUUGGCGGGGUAACGGCCCACCAAGGCGACGAUCAGUAGCUGGUCUGAGAGGAUGAUCAGCCACAUUGGGACUGAGAAACGGCCCAGACUCCUACGGGAGGCAGCAGUAAGGAAUAUUGGUCAAUGGACGCAAGUCUGAACCAGCCAUGCCGCGUGGAGGAUGAAGGUCCUCUGGA
This 323-nucleotide ribosomal RNA is filed under the name uncultured bacterium. RNAcentral's name for it is "bacterial SSU rRNA". It matches the Rfam family "Bacterial small subunit ribosomal RNA", at positions 84 to 422 of the family's 1533-position model. The record is from RNAcentral.